RNAcentral lists this unclassified non-coding RNA (168 nucleotides) under Bipolaris eleusines. Its description in RNAcentral is "partial internal transcribed spacer 2". RNAcentral also lists the same sequence under 1 other name. Lineage: Eukaryota; Fungi; Ascomycota; Dothideomycetes; Pleosporales; Pleosporaceae. The record is from RNAcentral.
GUACCUUCAAGCUUUGCUUGGUGUUGGGCGUUUUUUGUCUCCCUCUUUCUGGGAGACUCGCCUUAAAACGAUUGGCAGCCGGCCUACUGGUUUCGGAGCGCAGCACAUAUUUUGCGCUUUGUAUCAGGAGAAAAGGACGGUAAUCCAUCAAGACUCUACAUUUUUAAC